GAUGAACGCUGGCGGCGUGCCUAAUACAUGCAAGUCGAGCGAACGGACGAGAAGCUUGCUUUUCUGAUGUUAGCGGCGGACGGGUGAGUAACACGUGGAUAACCUACCUAUAAGACUGGGAUAACUUCGGGAAACCGGAGCUAAUACCGGAUAAUAUUUUGAACCGCAUGGUUCAAAAGUGAAAGACGGUCUUGCUGUCACUUAUAGAUGGAUCCGCGCUGCAUUAGCUAGUUGGUAAGGUAACGGCUUACCAAGGCAACGAUGCAUAGCCGACCUGAGAGGGUGAUCGGCCACACUGGAACUGAGACACGGUCCAGACUCCUACGGGAGGCAGCAGUAGGGAAUCUUCCGCAAUGGGCGAAAGCCUGACGGAGCAACGCCGCGUGAGUGAUGAAGGUCUUCGGAUCGUAAAACUCUGUUAUUAGGGAAGAACAUAUGUGUAAGUAACUGUGCACAUCUUGACGGUACCUAAUCAGAAAGCCACGGCUAACUACGUGCCAGCAGCCGCGGUAAUACGUAGGUGGCAAGCGUUAUCCGGAAUUAUUGGGCGUAAAGCGCGCGUAGGCGGUUUUUUAAGUCUGAUGUGAAAGCCCACGGCUCAACCGUGGAGGGUCAUUGGAAACUGGAAAACUUGAGUGCAGAAGAGGAAAGUGGAAUUCCAUGUGUAGCGGUGAAAUGCGCAGAGAUGUGGAGGAACACCAGUGGCGAAGGCGACUUUCUGGUCUGUAACUGACGCUGAUGUGCGAAAGCGUGGGGAUCAAACAGGAUUAGAUACCCUGGUAGUCCACGCCGUAAACGAUGAGUGCUAAGUGUUAGGGGGUUUCCGCCCCUUAGUGCUGCAGCUAACGCAUUAAGCACUCCGCCUGGGGAGUACGACCGCAAGGUUGAAACUCAAAGGAAUUGACGGGGGCCCGCACAAGCGGUGGAGCAUGUGGUUUAAUUCGAAGCAACGCGAAGAACCUUACCAAAUCUUGACAUCCUUUGACAACUCUAGAGAUAGAGCCUUCCCCUUCGGGGGACAAAGUGACAGGUGGUGCAUGGUUGUCGUCAGCUCGUGUCGUGAGAUGUUGGGUUAAGUCCCGCAACGAGCGCAACCCUUAAGCUUAGUUGCCAUCAUUAAGUUGGGCCCUCUAAGUUGACUGCCGGUGACAAACCGGAGGAAGGUGGGGAUGACGUCAAAUCAUCAUGCCCCUUAUGAUUUGGGCUACACACGUGCUACAAUGGACAAUACAAAGGGCAGCGAAACCGCGAGGUCAAGCAAAUCCCAUAAAGUUGUUCUCAGUUCGGAUUGUAGUCUGCAACUCGACUACAUGAAGCUGGAAUCGCUAGUAAUCGUAGAUCAGCAUGCUACGGUGAAUACGUUCCCGGGUCU
Molecule: ribosomal RNA, 1372 nt
Filed under: uncultured bacterium
Lineage: Bacteria
Description: bacterial SSU rRNA
Rfam family: Bacterial small subunit ribosomal RNA
Source: RNAcentral